CCAGAGUUCUGGGAUUACAGGUGUGAGCCAUCUUGCUCAUUCUAGUUUAAACUUUUGAGUGGUUUGUGUCUCCUGAUUGGACUCCUACAAAUACAGAAUUGAUGCUAGGAAGGGUACCAGGAGAUAGACGCACACAGAUGGGAUUUGGGAAUAGGUUUGGUUAUCCAAGGAGCAGUGCUGAGCUCCUUGCAAUGGGAUAUGGGAUGCUGGUGAUUUCCAGGAAGUGCGCUCACAAUGACUCAAGCUGCCACAUACUGUUGAUUGUGAAAUGCCAGUUGAAGCAUAUGUCCUGCAAGCUUAGGGGUGCUACAAGUUGACCACUGCAGCAGUAAAGAUGACUCUGAAGAAUGGCGUGGGAUGGUUCCUUUCAAAUGCACUUGAGCAGCGGUCUCCAACCACAGGGCCACAGAGCUGGAGCUGGAUCUACCAUGAAAGACUUGUGAAUCCAGGAAGAGAGACUGACUGGGCAACAUGUUAUUCAGGUACAAAAAGAUUUGGACUGUAACUUAAAAAUGAUCAAAUUAUGUUUCCCAUGCAUCAGGUGCAAUGGGAAGCUCUUCU
Molecule: long non-coding RNA, 561 nt
Filed under: Homo sapiens (human)
Lineage: Eukaryota; Metazoa; Chordata; Mammalia; Primates; Hominidae
Description: family with sequence similarity 157 member C
Source: RNAcentral